This 554-nucleotide small RNA is filed under the name Pongo abelii (Sumatran orangutan). RNAcentral describes it as "retained intron". Lineage: Eukaryota; Metazoa; Chordata; Mammalia; Primates; Hominidae. The record is from RNAcentral.
CGGCCGCUUUUACUUCCUCUACGGCUUCGUCUGGAUCCAGGACAUGAUGGAGCGCGCCAUCAUCGACACCUUUGUGGGGCACGACGUGGUGGAGCCGGGCAGCUACGUGCAGAUGUUCCCCUACCCCUGCUACACACGCGAUGAGUGAGUGCUCGGCGCCCGGGGCUGGGCUGGGGCUGGGGCUGAGUAGCGCCUGAGCGCGGCCUCCCCGCAGCUUCCUGUUUGUCAUUGAGCACAUGAUGCCGCUGUGCAUGGUGAUCUCCUGGGUCUACUCCGUGGCCAUGACCAUCCAGCACAUCGUGGCGGAGAAGGAGCACCGGCUCAAGGAGGUGCGCGGGCCGGGACGCUCCCUGGAGGCGCGGGCUGGCAGGGAGGGGCGGCGUCCUCCCCGGGGCCUGCCCCAAGCCCCUGGCCCACCCGCAGGUGAUGAAGACCAUGGGCCUGAACAACGCGGUGCACUGGGUGGCCUGGUUCAUCACCGGCUUUGUGCAGCUGUCCAUCUCCGUGACAGCGCUCACCGCCAUCCUGAAGUACGGCCAAGUGCUCAUGCACAG